ACGAACGCUGGCGGCAGGCCUCACACCUGCAAGUCGAGCGCGCCCUUCGGGGUGAGCGGCGGACGGGUGAGUAACGCGUGGGAACGUGCCCUUUUCUACGGAAUAGCCUCGGGAAACUGAGAGUAAUACCGUAUACGCCCUUUGGGGGAAAGAUUUAUCGGAAAAGGAUCGGCCCGCGUUGGAUUAGGUAGUUGGUGGGGUAAUGGCCUACCAAGCCGACGAUCCAUAGCUGGUUUGAGAGGAUGAUCAGCCACACUGGGACUGAGACACGGCCCAGACUCCUACGGGAGGCAGCAGUGGGGAAUCUUAGACAAUGGGGGCAACCCUGAUCUAGCCAUGCCGCGUGAGUGAUGAAGGCCUUAGGGUUGUAAAGCUCUUUCAGCUGGGAAGAUAAUGACGGUACCAGCAGAAGAAGCCCCGGCUAACUCCGUG
This 432-nucleotide ribosomal RNA is filed under the name uncultured bacterium. RNAcentral describes it as "partial 16S ribosomal RNA". It matches the Rfam family "Bacterial small subunit ribosomal RNA", at positions 29 to 507 of the family's 1533-position model. The record is from RNAcentral.